This 253-nucleotide ribosomal RNA is filed under the name uncultured bacterium. RNAcentral describes it as "partial 16S ribosomal RNA". It matches the Rfam family "Bacterial small subunit ribosomal RNA", at positions 524 to 776 of the family's 1533-position model. The record is from RNAcentral.
UACGGAGGGUGCGAGCGUUGUCCGGAAUUACUGGGCGUAAAGGGCGCGUAGGCGGCCUGCUAAGUCGAACGUGAAAUCCCCGGGCUCAACCCGGGAACUGCGUCCGAUACUGGCAGGCUUGAAUCCGGGAGAGGGAUGUGGAAUUCCAGGUGUAGCGGUGAAAUGCGUAGAUAUCUGGAGGAACACCGGUGGCGAAGGCGGCAUCCUGGACCGGCAUUGACGCUGAGGCGCGAAAGCCAGGGGAGCAAACGGG